RNAcentral lists this ribosomal RNA (443 nucleotides) under uncultured bacterium. Its description in RNAcentral is "partial 16S ribosomal RNA". It matches the Rfam family "Bacterial small subunit ribosomal RNA", at positions 338 to 795 of the family's 1533-position model. The record is from RNAcentral.
CCUACGGGGGGCAGCAGUGGGGAAUAUUGGACAAUGGGGGGAACCCUGAUCCAGCGACGCCGCGUGAGUGAAGAAGUAUUUCGGUAUGUAAAGCUCUAUCAGCAGGGAAGAAAGAAAUGACGGUACCUGACUAAGAAGCCCCGGCUAACUACGUGCCAGCAGCCGCGGUAAUACGUAGGGGACAAGCGUUAUCCGGAUUUACUGGGUGUAAAGGGAGCGUAGACGGCGAUGCAAGUCUGAAGUGAAAGGCGGGGGCCCAACCCCCGGACUGCUUUGGAAACUGUAUGGCUGGAGUGCAGGGGAGGUAAGUGGAAUUCCUAGUGUAGCGGUGAAAUGCGUAGAUAUUAGGAGGAACACCAGUGGCGAAGGCGGCUUACUGGACUGUAACUGACGUUGAGGCUCGAAAGCGUGGGGAGCAAACAGGAUUAGAUACCCUUGUAGUC